CAUAUAUUCUUAUGAGCAGGUGAUUUUUUGGUGAUGUAAUUCCCUAUUUCUUCUAUUAAGAUUAAUUGAUUUAAACUUUAUAUUCGAUCUGAAGCUAACUUUAUAAACUGUAUUUCCUCCAUUUCAUCUAUGUUUUCAAAUUUAUUUUUAUAGGAUUGAUAAAUUAUAGUAACUUCUGACUUUUAAAAGUUUUGUUUCAUUGUUAUUUUGCUCUUUCGAUUUCUUUAUUGCAUGUAUUUAAUACUGAGAGGCUAGGUAAUUUGCCAAAAUUAACUCAGCUGACUAUAAGAGAUGAGAUUUGUACACAGGCAUUUUGAGAGGAAAGCCUGUCAGUCUACCUCAUACAUUUUAAGAUGGAUUUAUUUGUGAGAUACAGUUAGAAAAUGUAAAAUAAAAAAAUAGGAUGGAGGGCUGCAGUGUGAGCUCCAGUCCUGGGGCGGAUGCGUCUGCGAUGCCCUCCACACUGGUGCCUUGAGGAGGAAUUACUUGGAGCUGAGGGAGGCCCAGCCUCUAGGCUCAGGGACUGGGGAGCUUCUGAGAGGAAUGGAUGUGUGUUGGCUUAGGCUAUUAAUGUAAGUGCUCAUUACGUUAGAAAGUAUUAUUUCAGUAAAAGAUGUAUAUGCGUGUGCUAUCAAACUAGUGAGAAUCUGAGAAGCAUAUGAUGAAAAUAGAAAAUGAGUUUUACUACAAAAUAGCGGGUAAAGAGAACUGAUAAAAU
Molecule: long non-coding RNA, 718 nt
Filed under: Homo sapiens (human)
Lineage: Eukaryota; Metazoa; Chordata; Mammalia; Primates; Hominidae
Description: non-protein coding lnc-TMEM18-19:1
Source: RNAcentral